AUGGAGAGUUUGAUCCUGGCUCAGGACGAACGCUGGCGGCGUGCCUAAUACAUGCAAGUCGAACGAGAAACUUCGGUUUCUAGUGGCGAACGGGUGAGUAACACGUGGGCAACCUGCCCUCAAGCCUGGGAUAACUCCGGGAAACCGGGGCUAACACCAGAUAAUCUUCUUAUUCGCAUGAAAGAGAAGUAAAAGUUUACACUUGAGGAUGGGCCCGCGGUGCAUUAGCUAGUUGGUGGGGUAACGGCCUACCAAGGCGACGAUGCAUAGCCGACCUGAGAGGGUGACCGGCCACACUGGGACUGAGACACGGCCCAGACUCCUACGGGAGGCAGCAGUAGGGAAUUUUCCGCAAUGGGGGCAACCCUGACGGAGCAACGCCGCGUGAGUGAAGACGGCCUUCGGGUUGUAAAGCUCUGUUCUUGGGGAAGAAACAAAUGACGGUACCCAAGCAGAAAGCCCCGGCUAACUACGUGCCAGCAGCCGCGGUAAUACGUAGGGGGCAAGCGUUGUCCGGAUUUAUUGGGCGUAAAGCGCGCGCAGGCGGUGGGUUAAGUUGUGGGUAAAAGGCAUUGGCUCAACCAAUGUAAGCCUGCAAAACUGGCUCACUUGAGUGCAGGAGAGGGGAGUGGAAUUCCCGGUGUAGCGGUGGAAUGCGUAGAUAUCGGGAGGAACACCAGUGGCGAAGGCGACUCUCUGGCCUGUAACUGACGCUGAGGCGCGAAAGCGUGGGUAGCGAACAGGAUUAGAUACCCUGGUAGUCCACGCCGUAAACGAUGAGUGCUAGGUGUUGGGGGCAUCACGUCCUCAGUGCCGAAGGAAACCCAAUAAGCACUCCGCCUGGGGAGUACGGCCGCAAGGCUGAAACUCAAAGGAAUUGACGGGGGCCCGCACAAGCGGUGGAGCAUGUGGUUUAAUUCGAAGCAACGCGAAGAACCUUACCAAGGCUUGACAUCCCAUUGACCCCUCUAGAGAUAGAGGUUCCCUUCGGGGCAAUGGUGACAGGUGGUGCAUGGUUGUCGUCAGCUCGUGUCGUGAGAUGUUGGGUUCAGUCCCGCAACGAGCGCAACCCUUAUCCUUAGUUGCCAGCAGGUAAAGCUGGGCUCUCUAAGGAGACAGCCGGUGAAAGCCGGAGGAAGGUGGGGAUGACGUCAAAUCAUCAUGCCCCUUACGUCUUGGGCUACACACGUGCUACAAUGGAUGGUACAAAGGGAAGCGAGACCGCGAGGUGGAGCAAAUCCCAGAAAGCCAUUCUCAGUUCGGAUUGUAGGCUGCAACUCGCCUACAUGAAGCCGGAAUCGCUAGUAAUCGCGGAUCAGCAUGCCGCGGUGAAUACGUUCCCGGGCCUUGUACACACCGCCCGUCACACCACGAGAGUUUGCAACACCCGAAGUCGGUGACAGAACCCUUAGGGGACUGAGCUGCCGAAGGUGGGGCAGAUGAUUGGGGUGAAGUCGUAACAAGGUAUCCCUACCGGAAGGUGGGGAUGGAUCACCUCCUUUCUAUGGAG
RNAcentral lists this ribosomal RNA (1510 nucleotides) under Shimazuella alba. Its description in RNAcentral is "bacterial SSU rRNA". It matches the Rfam family "Bacterial small subunit ribosomal RNA". The record is from RNAcentral. Lineage: Bacteria; Bacillati; Bacillota; Bacilli; Caryophanales; Thermoactinomycetaceae.